RNAcentral lists this ribosomal RNA (253 nucleotides) under uncultured bacterium. RNAcentral's name for it is "partial 16S ribosomal RNA". It matches the Rfam family "Bacterial small subunit ribosomal RNA", at positions 524 to 776 of the family's 1533-position model. The record is from RNAcentral.
UACGUAGGGGGCAAGCGUUGUCCGGAUUUAUUGGGCGUAAAGAGCGUGUAGGCGGUCAGGUAGGUCCGUUGUGAAAACUCGAGGCUCAACCUCGAGACGCCGAUGGAAACCAUCUGACUAGAGUCCGGAAGAGGAGAGUGGAAUUCCUGGUGUAGCGGUGAAAUGCGCAGAUAUCAGGAAGAACACCGAUGGCGAAGGCAGUGUUCUGGGCCAGUACUGACGCUGAGGAGCGAAAGCGUGGGUAGCAAACAGG